CGGAUGGAAGUUUAGAAACUUAGUGGCGGACGGGUGAGUAACGCGUGGGUAACCUGCCUCAUACAGGGGGAUAACAGUUAGAAAUGACUGCUAACACCGCAUAAUAUAGCGAAACCGCAUGAUUUUUGCUAUCAAAAUAGUUUAUAGGGUAUGAGAGUGGGCCCGCGUCUGAUUAGCUAGUUGGUGGGGUAAAAGCCUACCAAGGCGACGAUCAGUAGCCGGCUUGAGAGAGUGACCGGCCACAUUGGGACUGAGACACGGCCCAAACUCCUACGGGAGGCAGCAGUGGGGAAUAUUGGACAAUGGGGGAAACCCUGAUCCAGCGACGCCCGCGUGAGUGAAGAAGUAUUUCGGUAUGUAAAGCUCUAUCAGCAGGGAAGAUAAUGACAGUACCUGACUAAGAAGCCCCGGCUAACUACGUGCCAGCAGCAGC
RNAcentral lists this ribosomal RNA (433 nucleotides) under uncultured bacterium. RNAcentral's name for it is "bacterial SSU rRNA". It matches the Rfam family "Bacterial small subunit ribosomal RNA", at positions 63 to 518 of the family's 1533-position model. The record is from RNAcentral.